GGACAGAGCCGGGGCCGGCAGAGGGCACCUGCACCUGCCAGUCACGUGACCGCGGGCCGCGGGCCUCGGGCACUGGGGCUGACCCUGCAGGGCUCCCACCCGCCUGGCAGUUGCACAAACUUUACAACAAGCACCAGCUGCUACGGCUCCGGGAGGCUCUGAGCGACCCGGGCUCGCCCGGUGGACAUCCGGGUGUCAGGACCUGCCCCCGCCACGGGGGGCGCGCUCCUGCCGCUGCCGGGGAACCCGCCUCCGGCAUCGCCGCCCCUUGCCGGCCACGCGUGCUGGAAAGUCAGUGUUGGACACAAACAUUUGACUCUGCAGGAGCCACAGACGGUUUCCGGAGCUCGAAUAUUCACUGGCGGCUCCUCGGCGCCUGUGCAGUUGUGCGAACAUUUCCGAGAUGAGGGAAUUCGGCUCGUUUGCGUAGGGCCGCGCUCGAGGGUAGCUGAGCACCUGGCGGCCCGGCCCGCCGCGGCUCCUCGCGCCCAGGGCAGCCAGACCGCAGCCUGCUGCCCGGCCCCCCGGACCCCGCCCCCGGCGCUGGCUCUGGCUGGGGCGGCUCGCAAACCAGUGACGCCAGCAUGAGGCAGGCCGGAGGGCAGUGCGGGAAGGAGAACGUGUUCCUUCAGUCAUUCACUCACUUAUUCAGCAUCUGAAUCUGUAUCUGUUGACUCCCUACCUCGGGCCGGCACCGUGUCCUCACUGGAAGCACAGCCGUGAAGGGACCGACCAAACCCCAGCCCUCCUGGAGGUUAUAUUCCAGGCGUGAGAGCGACGUUUAUUUCAUACAACACGCGGUGUCGGCUGGUGACUGGAGCUCCGGGGCAGAACGAAGAGUCCGGGAGUGCGGAGGAGGAGGAGGUGGGCCUGCCAGGUGCAGUUGGCCAGGUGGUGCACUGCCCAAGUCCGGCAGUACAUUCCCAGCUGUCAUCCUAGAGUUAGGCCCUCACAGGGGUGGCUUCCCAGCAGGUGGCAGUCACAUGUCUGAGGAAGGAUCUCCUUGUAAUUUUCCAGGGCCCCGGCCUGGGCUCACAGCAAUGGGGGGGUGGUGGUGGGGUAGUCCUGCCAGGAUGACACAGAGCUGGGGAUGUCACUUCCAGGCAGCCCUCCCCGCUCAGACAGCUCCUCACACAGCACUGCACGUCUCGGCCACCAGCAGACUCGGGACGAGCCAGGGCCUCAGUGUCCUCAGUGCCCAGACAGCGAGAGUGCCCCAGGCAGAGGGAACAGCUCGUGCAAAGGCCCUGAGGCAGAGAGACGGGUGUCUCAGGGACACAAGUGGCCAGUUUGGUGGGAGGCGUGGAGGAGGAGGAUGUCAGGAGGUGGGAGAGGAGGCGUGUCCUGACUCACUGGUCUCAGGCAGGAGUUUGGACUGGAUCCUCAGUGGGUCUGAGGAGUCUCUCCAAGGCGAGUGGUGCAGCGCCCGCUGACUUGUCUCAGGGCGCAGCGCACCGGGACGUCGCUGCGUGAAGGCCGCCGGGCUCACGCCGUGUCCAGCCCGUGGCGGGUGUGCCGUGGCGAAGGCGAGGGUGUAAAUUCUCAGGUAGAGCCCACAGGGGUCCCGUCCACAGCCGGGGUCGGGGCGUUUCCCCUGUGCCGUGAACAGCAGCAGCGGGAAAUGCUCUGGGUCCAGGCUGAGGCCUCCCCCGCGGGGACGUUUGCGCGUUCGCUGGCUGGUAAUGGAAACUGCCCAGCUGCCCUGCUUCCCCCCACAGUGGGGCACUGUCUCUACUCCAGGCCAUGGGCUCUCACGACCUCGGGCUGAUCGUCAGCAUCAAGG
This 1783-nucleotide long non-coding RNA is filed under the name Canis lupus familiaris (dog). RNAcentral's name for it is "lncRNA (ENSCAFG00845029152.1)". Lineage: Eukaryota; Metazoa; Chordata; Mammalia; Carnivora; Canidae. The record is from RNAcentral.